This 453-nucleotide long non-coding RNA is filed under the name Junco hyemalis (dark-eyed junco). RNAcentral describes it as "lncRNA (ENSJHYG00000012765.1)". The record is from RNAcentral. Lineage: Eukaryota; Metazoa; Chordata; Aves; Passeriformes; Passerellidae.
GGAAAGUAGAAGACCAAGAAAGGAAAUACUGCAGAAAUAUUUUAACACUGGGCCGGCUGGCAGCAAUGAGCUUUGUGCACUUGAGGAAGAAAAAAAUUUACACUUGAACUUAAAAUUUGUCUUGGAUGCUGCUUUUAGCAUUUCAGUUACUUCUGAGGAGGAUUCCAGGUGUCUACUUAAAAAUAGAAAGUGUUCCCAGGCAAGGAUUUCUGUCUGUAUUCUGCACUCCUGUACUCACAAAGAAGAAGAAAACUUCUUACAAAGGAAAAUACAUUAAUACAGAACACAUAUGAAAUUCUGCCUGUGUAAUGAAGAAUAUUCUUUGACUAUACUGUUUCCAGUGUAAACUACUGAACGUGCAAACACAAGUUUCAUGGGAGAUAAGCCAAGGUGAUGAAGUCCAAGCAAGAUGAGGAAGCACAGAGACCGUAAACACAUUAUCUUCUAUUAAAG